GACGAACGUUGGCGGCGUGCCUAAUACAUGCAAGUCAACUGAAAUACCGGUAGCAAUACUGGUAUGGAGGUGGCGCACGGGUGAGUAACACGUAGGUAAUCUGCCUUCAGGUCUGACAUAACCCAUCGAAAGGUGAGCUAAUAUCAGAUGAUGCAGCGGCUUGACAUCAAGACAGUUGUUAAAGCUUCGGCGCCUGAAGAUGAGCCUGCGUCUGAUUAGCUAG
This 223-nucleotide ribosomal RNA is filed under the name uncultured bacterium. Its description in RNAcentral is "partial 16S ribosomal RNA". It matches the Rfam family "Bacterial small subunit ribosomal RNA", at positions 28 to 248 of the family's 1533-position model. The record is from RNAcentral.